GUUGCAUCAUUAAAGAUGCUUUUUUCUAAACCCUACUGUAGGUUUUCUGUUAAAAUGAACACAUGAAAUAUUUGACUGAAAACGGCUACUGGGAACGAUCAAAAACUUCCCAAGGAGUAUAUCCAAGAUAACCGAGUCCAGCCUCAAUCCUUGGGAUGACUAGCGGAGGAAAUCCGAUGCGAGAUAUUUGGACCUCGAUCUGAAACUCGACGG
RNAcentral lists this long non-coding RNA (213 nucleotides) under Elaeis guineensis (African oil palm). Its description in RNAcentral is "long non-coding RNA (EGUI_LNC012400)". Lineage: Eukaryota; Viridiplantae; Streptophyta; Magnoliopsida; Arecales; Arecaceae. The record is from RNAcentral.